This 253-nucleotide ribosomal RNA is filed under the name uncultured bacterium. RNAcentral describes it as "partial 16S ribosomal RNA". It matches the Rfam family "Bacterial small subunit ribosomal RNA", at positions 524 to 776 of the family's 1533-position model. The record is from RNAcentral.
UACGUAGGGGGCAAGCGUUGUCCGGAUUUAUUGGGCGUAAAGCGCACGUAGGCGGACUAUUAAGUCAGGGGUGAAAUCCCGGGGCUCAACCCCGGAACUGCCUUUGAUACUGGUAGUCUCGAGUCCGGAAGAGGUGAGUGGAAUUCCGAGUGUAGAGGUGAAAUUCGUAGAUAUUCGGAGGAACACCAGUGGCGAAGGCGGUUCACUGGUCCGGUACUGACGCUGAGGUGCGAAAGCGUGGGGAGCAAACAGG